RNAcentral lists this long non-coding RNA (1711 nucleotides) under Gallus gallus (chicken). The record is from RNAcentral. Lineage: Eukaryota; Metazoa; Chordata; Aves; Galliformes; Phasianidae.
CUCCUGUGAACAACACAGCACACCAGUAAAGGAUGCUCAGAGUGGGGCUGCUCACACGGACAUUAAAAUGAGGCAGGGAAAAGUCUUUCUGAAACACGACUACUGCUUUCCUUAUGCCACAAACAAGCUAAGCUGACCGAUAAUGCUGUCCCCUCCCCGCCAAAACUAUCAGAGCAUGACAACAGUAACAAAAGAAACAUUAAUUUGGGGGCUUUAUUUAAUUUCUUUUUUUCUUCUUCCUUUUUUUUUUUUUUAGAUGCUACAUCAUCAAACAGGAUUGGUCUUUUUACGGCAUAGGACUAGUUUACUACUAAUAUUUUUUCCCCUAGAUAGACUUAUUUACAUACAAAAACAGUUUCCUGACCACUGUUUCCCCAAUGCUCAGAUGAUCAGAACUCCCAACAAUUGUGUAGUGCCCAAAACUACAGGAGGCAGAAGAAUCUUGCAUCACUACAGCAGCAGAUUUUUAGUUCUAGUCACUGGCUUUAGAACAGGUGCCUUUUCAUACCAUAAAGCAUUAGUCAAUUUUGUGACAGGAAGGAAACAUGAGAUGAAAUACAUUAAAUAAGUUAAAUAUGCAUUAAACAUCUCUGAAUAACACUUUAAUUCAACUAAAUGAACCAACAGCAAUGUAGCUUGGUCCCUCCAUAAGAACAAGGCAUUGACUUUUACUCCAAACUAGCGUCAUACCAGUCAAUAUACGCCUCUUAAUGAUGCCUAGCACAUUCAGCGUUGCCACAUACAACUCUUUCCAGCUUCUCACUAUUCAUUUAAGUGCCAAGAAAUUGGUAACUUGCACAGAGUUGAAGACACUGACAGAAAAACUGUUAAAUUUAUGAGCAGAAUGGUGGAUUAACGUAUUUUACAGAACUUAUCAACACCUCCUGCCUAACCCAGCUCCAAACAUCCAAUAGGGCCAGCUCCAGCAGUGGAGGAAUCUUUUUUUUUUUCUAUUUUUCCUUUUUUUUCCUUUUUUUUUUUUUUUUAAAAAGAGGUCAUCCAGCAACAUGUACCAGGGACUAAGAAUGUUUAAAAUGACAUAUACAAUAUUCCAUUGUAGUGUUAAAUCAUGAUUUUCUUCCCCCUUCAUCACUGAAGAAUAUUCUUUCAUUCAUUCCCUCAUUGUACAUUUUAAACUUCCUAGAUUAUGUUACAUAGUAUUUGUGCAGGGGUAAUUUAAAGGCAAGACCUGUGAGAUGUCAUACAUUAAUUUUUUUUUUAAACACUGUUAUGAAUAAAUUUAAUCCAAUGAUAUGGCAGAACCAUCAAACCAAUUUACAAUUUCCAGCAUGCUGCCUCUACAAGGCUAUUUUUCCUAUAAUUACACCAAUGACAAAGAACAAAACCACCAAAGCAAGUAGUCUGGAGCUGUGCCCUUCAUCCUUGACAACAGCUGCAGAAGCAGAUAUUGGGUUGUUCGUCUGGGGUGCCUUUCUCAUCCGAAGUCCAUCUUCUUCCUUAAACUGUUUAUUCUCCUCCCGUAACCUCUGAACUUCUACUUGAAGCCUCUUAUAUUCUUCCAUUACUUUCUUAACUUCAGUGUCAUCCAAGGAAGAACUUAUUGAUUUAGACAUUACAGAGGAAUCUGUCUUUGUUGCAGUUGUGGAUACGAUUUUAUUUAUUUCUAUGUCAUGAGGCUUAUCAUUUUCCGUCGGUAGCUCAAACACACACCUAAGUUUUGAGUCCAUGAGUUCCUCCGGCUUUGCCUCUU